RNAcentral lists this ribosomal RNA (875 nucleotides) under uncultured bacterium. RNAcentral describes it as "bacterial SSU rRNA". It matches the Rfam family "Bacterial small subunit ribosomal RNA", at positions 9 to 873 of the family's 1533-position model. The record is from RNAcentral.
AGAGUUUGAUCAUGGCUCAGAUUGAACGCUGGCGGCAUGCCUUACACAUGCAAGUCGAACGGCAGCACGGGAGCAAUCCUGGUGGCGAGUGGCGAACGGGUGAGUAAUAUAUCGGAACGUGCCCAGUCGUGGGGGAUAACGUAGCGAAAGCUACGCUAAUACCGCAUACGAUCUACGGAUGAAAGCGGGGGACCUGUAAGGGCCUCGCGCGAUUGGAGCGGCCGAUAUCAGAUUAGGUUGUUGGUGAGGUAAAAGCUCACCAAGCCUGCGAUCUGUAGCUGGUCUGAGAGGACGACCAGCCACACUGGAACUGAGACACGGUCCAGACUCCUACGGGAGGCAGCAGUGGGGAAUUUUGGACAAUGGACGCAAGUCUGAUCCAGCAAUGCCGCGUGCAGGACGAAGGCCUUCGGGUUGUAAACUGCUUUUGUACGGAACGAAACGGUCUGCUUUAAUACAGUGGGCUAAUGACGGUACCGUAAGAAUAAGCACCGGCUAACUACGUGCCAGCAGCCGCGGUAAUACGUAGGGUGCGAGCGUUAAUCGGAAUUACUGGGCGUAAAGCGUGCGCAGGCGGUUAUAUAAGACAGAUGUGAAAUCCCCGGGCUCAACCUGGGACCUGCAUUUGUGACUGUAUAGCUAGAGUACGGUAGAGGGGGAUGGAAUUCCGCGUGUAGCAGUGAAAUGCGUAGAUAUGCGGAGGAACACCGAUGGCGAAGGCAAUCCCCUGGACCUGUACUGACGCUCAUGCACGAAAGCGUGGGGAGCAAACAGGAUUAGAUACCCUGGUAGUCCACGCCCUAAACGAUGUCAACUGGUUGUUGGGUCUUCACUGACUCAGUAAACGAAGCUAACGCGUGAAGUGACCCGCCUGG